RNAcentral lists this long non-coding RNA (562 nucleotides) under Gouania willdenowi (blunt-snouted clingfish). RNAcentral describes it as "lncRNA (ENSGWIG00000023473.1)". Lineage: Eukaryota; Metazoa; Chordata; Actinopteri; Blenniiformes; Gobiesocidae. The record is from RNAcentral.
CCUUCGAACACCACGGACACAAACACACUCAGACCUGACCUGACAGAGCUUCAUUAAUAUCCUCAAAAAAGCGCGACUGCAGGAAUCGACUGCCUCUGCAUGCAGCAACUGUGCAGCCGCAGCCUGAAGUCCUGUGUGUGGUGCUUGAGGGUGAGAUUAAAAUAAACAUGUAUCAUAAAGUAACUCAGUGAUGUAAAUUAAUCAUCUACUUUAUCUGUGUUUGCUGCAGUGAUGGCAUCCACAGAUGUGACCGUGAAGGAGCAGACAGAGGAUGGGGACACAGCUCUGACGUUGGCGGUGGAACGGCUGGGUGGAGAACGUCAGAAUGCUGCUGCAGCACGGAGCAUCUCCUCACAACACUAACAGCAGAAAGGAGUCCCCUCUGCUGCUGGAGCCCUGAGGACCCUCAUCCCCAUCACCACACUGAAGGCCAUCCGUCUGUCAGGCCAGAGUCCAGUGCACUGUGCAGCAGACAGAGGUCAGGUUAAAAGUCUGGAGCUGCUUAUUGGACAAGCUUCUGUUUAUAGAACUACAGAAUAAAAACAUUGGAUGUGUUGCUACC